Molecule: transfer RNA, 71 nt
Filed under: Loxodonta africana (African savanna elephant)
Lineage: Eukaryota; Metazoa; Chordata; Mammalia; Proboscidea; Elephantidae
Rfam family: tRNA
About the family: Transfer RNA (tRNA) molecules are approximately 80 nucleotides in length. Their secondary structure includes four short double-helical elements and three loops (D, anti-codon, and T loops).
Source: Rfam by way of RNAcentral
GCAGUGGUGGUUCAAUGGCAGAAUUCUUGCCUUCCAUGUGGGAGACCUGGGUUCAAAUCUUGGCCAAAGUA